Molecule: transfer RNA, 76 nt
Filed under: Aquariibacter lacus
Lineage: Bacteria; Pseudomonadati; Pseudomonadota; Betaproteobacteria; Burkholderiales; Sphaerotilaceae
Description: tRNA-Thr
Rfam family: tRNA
About the family: Transfer RNA (tRNA) molecules are approximately 80 nucleotides in length. Their secondary structure includes four short double-helical elements and three loops (D, anti-codon, and T loops). Further hydrogen bonds mediate the characteristic L-shaped molecular structure. tRNAs have two regions of fundamental functional importance: the anti-codon, which is responsible for specific mRNA codon recognition, and the 3' end, to which the tRNAs corresponding amino acid is attached (by aminoacyl-tRNA synthetases). tRNAs cope with the degeneracy of the genetic code in two manners: having more than one tRNA (with a specific anti-codon) for a particular amino acid; and 'wobble' base-pairing, i.e. permitting non-standard base-pairing at the 3rd anti-codon position.
Source: RNAcentral
GCCGGCUUAGCUCAGUUGGUAGAGCAGCUGUCUUGUAAACAGCAGGUCGUCCGUUCGAUUCGGACAGUCGGCACCA